CAGCACCUCAAGUGGUCAGGAUGAUUAUUGGGCCUAAAGCAUCCGUAGCCGGCGCUGUAAGUUUUCGGUUAAAUCUGUACGCUCAACGUACAUGCUGCCGGGAAUACUGCAGCGCUAGGGAGUGGGAGAGGUAGACGGUACUCGGUAGGAAGGGGUAAAAUCCUUUGAUCUAUUGAUGACCACCUGUGGCGACGGCGGUCUACCAGAACACGUCCGACGGUGAGGGAUGAAAGCUGGGGGAGCAAACCGGAUUAGAGACCCGAGUAGUCC
This 270-nucleotide ribosomal RNA is filed under the name uncultured archaeon. Its description in RNAcentral is "partial 16S ribosomal RNA". It matches the Rfam family "Archaeal small subunit ribosomal RNA", at positions 477 to 747 of the family's 1478-position model. The record is from RNAcentral.